UAACGUACACAGAACCUUUGUUGAGGACGAGGUUUUUGCAAUGUUUGUGCAAAUGUGAAGAUAUAUAGCCCUGAUGAUGUUUUCGAACUGAAAACGAAAUAUAUUGGCAAAAAGAAAA
Molecule: long non-coding RNA, 118 nt
Organism: Bradysia coprophila
Lineage: Eukaryota; Metazoa; Arthropoda; Insecta; Diptera; Sciaridae
Source: RefSeq, a predicted model, not a curated record